GACGAACGCUGGCGGCGUGCUUAACACAUGCAAGUCGAACGGAAAGGCCCUGCUUUUGUUGGAUGCUCGGGGAGCGAACGGGUAAGAAACAAGUGAGUAACCUGCCCUUGACUGUGGAAUAACUUCAGGAAACUGGGGCAAAUACCGUAUAGGAGCUCCGCCUGCAGGGGGGUGGUAGGAAAGGUGGGGCGUUUGGGGAUGGACUCGCGGCUUAUCAGCUUGUUGGUGGGUUGGUGGCUUACCAAGGCUGUGACGGGUAGCCGGCCUGAGAGGGUGACCGGCCACAGUGGGAGUGAGAUACGGCAGAGACCCAUACGGGAGGGAGGAGUGGAGUAUAGUGCAAAAGGGGCGAAAGUGUGAUGGAGAAACGGCGCGUGCGGGAUGACGGCCUUCGGGGUGUAACGCGCUUUCGAGUGUGACGAAGCGUGGGGACGGGAAAUGGGGAAAGAGGAACCGCCUACUUACGU
Molecule: ribosomal RNA, 467 nt
Filed under: uncultured bacterium
Lineage: Bacteria
Description: partial 16S ribosomal RNA
Rfam family: Bacterial small subunit ribosomal RNA
Source: RNAcentral